Long non-coding RNA from Taeniopygia guttata (zebra finch), 5071 nucleotides. The record is from Ensembl. NCBI's taxonomy places the organism in Eukaryota, Metazoa, Chordata, Aves, Passeriformes, Estrildidae.
UGUUCUUUAACUGGUUCAUUAGCAGUAAUGAAGCUUAUGUCUCUAAUGUACACCUGGGUCAGCAAAUUCCUUGUCCAGGCUUAGACAAGCUAGAGAAGUAGCACCUUCUCCAGAUGGACAUUAAUUAUUAAACCACAUUUAUCAAGGGAGAGCAGCAAGGUAACUCACUCCCUAGGCAACUGCCAGUGCCUUGAAAACAUUUCCAUAACGUCCAUGCACAUCUAGGAGAGUUGGGUUUGUUCAGUUGUCGAAAGCAGGCUGCUCACAGGAAACACCAAAGGCCAGCACAGCCCAGAGAGCAAGGUGUGCUGCUGUGAUCCCUGCCCUCCACUGAGACCCAGCCACUCCAAGAAACACAACAGCCAGGUGCAGGCAGUCACACAUGACUGCUAAGCUCCCUGGAUUUGCUUACUCCAUAUUUGCAAAACCUGUGCAGUCACACAUUCAUUCACCUUCUCUAAAUGAGUCCCACUUCCUUCUGCCUUUUGAUUAAAAAAAAAAAUUUAGAAGUUCUGUUUCAAUUAGAAGUGAGUAAAUUUCUCAGAUAUUUGAAGGAAAUUUAUCUCUGAGCCAUGGGACAUUGUUUACACAGCUCUCUCAAAAUAAGCUAAGACAGAAGUCCUUGCUAUGGUGAUGGGCUAAAACAGAACUGCAUCUUGGAUUCACACCUUUCAAAAGAGGGAUGCCUUGACAAGGUAACCCACCCAUCUUGCCACAAUUUGAGACUCAGCUGGGCAUAGGAUGCAUACAACAUUAGAAAUCUUUCAUUCUACCCUCCAGAUGCUGUAGAAAAUCACAUCACAGACUCUCACUUUUUCUUCUCUACCUGAAUUUGUUAAUGACUCCUGGUGGCUCUGCUAAUGUUGACCUUCAGCUUAUGUAGUAUUUUACCACUCUGGUCUCCAUACUUUAUUGCUCUGACAGAUUUCUUCAGCAGAAAUCAUCUUGUCUUAGCCUUUAUUUACCCAGUCUAAGCCAAACAAAUCUUUUAAGUGUUCCUUGAUAUGAUAAGGCAUCCAUUUGGCAGAUAAUCUCAAUCACUUUUCUGUACACCUCAUUCUCUGAAUAAACCAGCUGUAAAAACUGACAGCCUGUCAUGCAAAUUGCUGACCAUGGCUGUCAUGAGGGCCAGCCAUGAAGAAUUAUCUCCUUUACUCUGUAGUAAGUACCUGCAUGUUCCUGACUGUAAAACCCACAUACCACUCUCCCAGUGCUCAUUUACAUGGCACUUAUAUCCCCAUCCCUUUUUGUAAGAUCAACUGCUCCUUUUUUCUUUUUUCCCUACUUAUUAUCCUUUUUUCCUGUCCUCAUUUAUUUUCUGAAUAUUAUGUAAGCUACAGAUUUUAGAUAAAUGAGCAACUGAGCAAUAGACUUACAAAUAUGUAUUUACAAAGGUUUUCAUGUCCUCAAGGAACAAAAGAGGCUGCUCCAUUCUCAAGCAAAAGAAGGCCUACACAAAGUAUAAAGACAGUUGUUUAUCACACCCCCGCUGUUGGCUUUCUUGGUCAAAAGGUUAUUUCUAAAUCACUCACUGAUCUGUACAAUGGUUUUGAUUAAACAUCUGUCUUGUCUCAUUCUGCUUCCUUAUUUGUGAAAUUGAGUUAAAAAUAGAAUAAUAAACAGAUUGGUUGAAAUGCAUCGAUAAAAUUGAGACACUUUUUAAAUCUCUCAGAGUGGUCAGAUUUUGCUAGGAUAGAGUAUAUGUCUUGUACUUUACACCACUGCACAAAUUCAUUUCUACCAUUUCAAAGGAGCAGUACAAACACACUAAUUUUGUUCACUUUCAGAAUCACUACACUUUAUGAGCUAAAAUAUUCAUUGUAAUAUCUUGCUAUGAUUCCAGAUUUGCAACCUAAAAUAUGUUCAACUCAUGACAACAAAAACCCAAUUUCACCAUUCAUGCUGGUGGUAUUUAUCACUGGAGUCUGAGUCACAUAAGUCAGCAGGCAAGUUUUUUUUAGUACAGUCUUAAGAUUUUGGGAUUUAUAUCUCUAAAAUUCUUCUCUCUUCAUUGAAAAGUUCUCUGAACAUACUAGCAGAGAGAAAAAGAACACUAUGUGAGAACCGAAUCCCCAUCUCCCUUGUUUUGAACAGUUUAUGGAAACAAACUAGAUAAAAUAUCAGGAAAAUUGUAUUUAAAAGGGGGUAAAAAACCCCAAAUCCACUCCCCCCCCCAACAAAAAAACAUCUCGUAUAGCUCUCAUAUAACAUGUACUAAAGAAACCCAUGCAGUUUCUUCCCAGAGGCUUACUCUAAAUCUAAAUUUAACCUUUCCACCUUCAUUAGCAAUAAUGAAGCAGCUUGAUUUCUCAGUGUCAUUAAUAAGCAUGAGUUCAAAUCUCAUUUCUAAGCCAGACAUAUCAGGAGAUUACUGCUGGCUGUUUAACAAGCUGUACUUCAUCCACUUACAAAUGUUGAAUCAAAUUGCUUUUAAAAAUGCCUUCCAUGGAACACAGAAAAUAAUAUAUCAAAAAGGAAGCCUCAAUCACACGCUCCUCCUUUUCCAAAGCACAAAAGAUGUCAUUUAAAGUCUAAAGUUAGCCUGACUUCCUUGUGAGAGCAGGUCACUGUUUUCCCUCUUGGAGUAAUAGCCCACUCACAUUUUGUUGCUGCCAAACCCUCGGGAUUUACCUUGUUUUGUGGACUUGUAAGGAGGUCUCAUCUCAGCUGCCCCUGCAGGACCACCUACCUUUAGCCAUUCCAGUUUGGGAUGUAUUCCAACACUUUAUCCCCUGGAAUUUACAACCUAUGAUAGUUCUUCAGGCACAGACCAUCUCUGUCAGUACUAAUUCUGGCCCUGAGACAGCAUAGAUGUUAAGCCUUGGAAAACUGUGCCUUCCAGGGGGAAUAUUCCUUCUCCACUCCCACCCACUCCCUGUGCAGUGCAUGAUUAUUCAAUAUUAUUCCAUCAGAAAGAAAUACAGGAGAACAUCACACAUCCUCAGGAAAACCCACACCAAGUGCAAUUACACAAAACAUUACCUUGUGAAAUUUAAAGAAGAUAUGGCAUAGUCUCUGACAAUUUCUCAGAUUAUAAGUGUUGAGUUCCUAGAAAUAAAAAACAUGUAAAGAGGAGAACAUGAAGUUAGUGGUCACAGUUUUGUGAAUAGUCUACAUUCAUUCACUCUUCUAGAACCCCUUGAAGUAUUAGAAAGACUAAAAAUGAACAUGAAGAUCCUAUUCAUACAAGUCUUUGUAAUAUUGUAUUUUUAUUUAAAGUACUAUUCACAGGCUAUUUUCCCCACUGUCCAAUCAAUAAAGGGGUUACCAUGUGUUGCAAUAUUUUAAUAAAUCACUUUUCUUUAGGUUACUUCCUAGAAUGGCUCUGAGGUCGCACCAGUGGGUCAAAGCACAUUCUAAAGGGCUCUUUUUGACUAUUCGUUACUGCUGGAAUUACUCCAUUUCAUUGUAACCUCAAUUGUACAUGAUUGCACUUUAUAGCAAGAACACAAAUCUUACUUUUGUCAGCUCUCAGCCCCCCAGGCACAAAGCAGAUAUCAGAGGUGUGGCAGACUUUCAUAUUUUCUUUUACAAUUAAAACACUCAAUAUGAACCCAAGGGUCCCACAACCACAGGACACUAAACCAACACAGUAUUCCACAUAUGAAACAAGGAAUUGGGGUCUUAUAAAUGGAAGGAAUGAAACAGGGUGUUGGAGCAGCGUGGGACAUGGAUUAAAACUGUUAGCAAAACAAACUGUAAAAAUUUCUGGCAAACAUUCAAACAGUAACAGCUGUAAAGGCACCAACACAGACAGCGAGAGCUGUUGGCAGACACACAACAGGCAGUAACAGUUGUUAGCACACACACAGAAAAGAAGCACCAAUUUUUUACAAAGUACACAAAACAACAUGUACAACAAUCAAACUCUAAAUUCCAAGACCAAAACCAAUAGUAAAACUCAUCAGACUUUUUUCGGGGAUUCUAACCGCUUUGCAUUUCUUUCGGGGAUUACAGCCUUUUUUUUCAGGGACUUUAACCCUUCUGUAUCUCUUUAGGGGAAUCCUAUGCCACUGUAACAUUAUCACAUACACACCCGAACUAAUUUACAUUGUAUGCUCUCAUGGUUAUUAGACAGUUCUUUUACACUGCACUUGCACCUCCCCAGUUCAGGAGUCUUUGAUGAAAGGCUUCCAGGGUCAUCUUCUCAUCUGAAUUUUUCAACUUUGCCCUUGGAGCAUGUGCAGUUACAGUGUUCUUUGGUCUGUUCUUGGUCUUAACCAGCCUAAAUUCUUUGAUUUGUGGCUAAUUGGAUCUGCACUUAUCGAUUUUUCAUUAGCACUAUACUUCUCUAUCUCUAAAGCUAUCCACUUGGCAAGGUUUUUUUUCUUUUUUUGUCUAUUCAGCAUUAAGCAAGUAGUGAACCAUAUAUUGGCCAUUGCAUUGUAUAAAAAGUUGUGAUUUCAGGUUAUAUAGGUACAAAGAGCUGAAUCAGGUUAUAUAGGUAUCAGGUUAUAUUGAUAUAUAAAAAGACAUUAUUUAGGUUAUAUUGAUAUCAGGUUACAUAGAUAUAUUGGGUUAUAUUGAUAUAUAAAAAGUCAUUAUUUAGGUUAUACUGGUAUCUUAUAAUUCAAGCUAUAUAAGUAGCUUGUAACUUUGAUCUAAGUUAUAUAGGCAUCACUUAAUCCCUAAAUUUUCGAGGAAAACCAAAGUGAAAGCCAUUCAGUGGGCCAGGAUCCUCCCUCCAGGAACACCCAAGGAGCAGCCAAGGGUGUUUGGGUGCCUCUUUGGGGACAGGGGAUAACUGCAGUAGCUGAGGGGAUGACCCAGAAUUCAAGAGUAAGAACAAACAAAAACUAAGGCCACCCCACACCUCACUAAUGCUGCUGUUUUGGGGUGCUGAGGACACUGGGGCUGUUUUUCAUACCCUUUUCCCCACAUUUUCUGCACUUGCUGGUUGUCACCUUCUCAGCCCCAGCAGCUGCGGGGGCAAUAAAAGGGGUCAGGUUGGAAAGCACCAUAGGGGGCAUCUGGUUCUUCCUCCGUGCUCAGGCAGGGUCACCCCAGAGCACCGGGAGCAGCAGCGGGAGCAGCAGCGGAGUACCGGGACAGUGCCACCACAGCCGCGCCC